UGGUAAUUAGUUUAAAAAAAAACAAAUGAUUUCGACUCAUUAAAUUAUGUUCAUAUCAUAAUUACCAA
RNAcentral lists this transfer RNA (68 nucleotides) under Chinchilla lanigera (long-tailed chinchilla). Its description in RNAcentral is "tRNA (ENSCLAG00000000026.1)". It matches the Rfam family "tRNA". From Rfam's summary of the family: Transfer RNA (tRNA) molecules are approximately 80 nucleotides in length. Their secondary structure includes four short double-helical elements and three loops (D, anti-codon, and T loops). The record is from RNAcentral. Lineage: Eukaryota; Metazoa; Chordata; Mammalia; Rodentia; Chinchillidae.